Molecule: ribosomal RNA, 253 nt
Filed under: uncultured bacterium
Lineage: Bacteria
Description: partial 16S ribosomal RNA
Rfam family: Bacterial small subunit ribosomal RNA
Source: RNAcentral
UACGUAGGGGGCUAGCGUUGUCCGGAAUCACUGGGCGUAAAGCGCACGUAGGCGGCUUCUUAAGUCAGGGGUGAAAUCCUGGAGCUCAACUCCAGAACUGCCUUUGAUACUGGGAGGCUCGAGUCCGGAAGAGGUGAGUGGAACUGCGAGUGUAGAGGUGAAAUUCGUAGAUAUUCGCAAGAACACCAGUGGCGAAGGCGGCUCACUGGUCCGGUACUGACGCUGAGGUGCGAAAGCGUGGGGAGCAAACAGG